Molecule: long non-coding RNA, 488 nt
Organism: Clupea harengus (Atlantic herring)
Lineage: Eukaryota; Metazoa; Chordata; Actinopteri; Clupeiformes; Clupeidae
Source: Ensembl
CCCAUUACGAAAGUGUUGGAUUUCAGUCAAGGGCUGGCCUAUGGGGCUGGCUGCAGACUGCCGAAUAGUCAGCCAUGUUGUUUUUGUGACAGAGCUAUCAGCAACAGGUACAGUUGGAAAUCCAUCAUAUUCCGCCCGAAAUAUUUCUCUCUGGACUGUAUAUUCAUCUAACGAUUACUGGAGGCACAGGCGGAGGAAAGGAUCGUCUAAACCGAAGCCUUUCGGAAUCAUUUAGCAGCGCAUUUAUGUCUUUUUCGGCUGUUCGGAGAACUGGGGUGCUGAGCAGCAGGCAUUGGGUGUGGCAGGAAACAGCUGAACACUGAACAACGAUUCCAGUUUCCUGUCUGUGCUGGUUAAAUGCACAGGUGAGCCGUGUGUGUGUGUGUGUGUGUGUGUGUGUGUGGGCCUGAGGGGUACUCCUGUGGAACUCUCCUCCACACCCCCCCCUGGCUCGGAGGCAAAUAGCUUAACCCAAACAGGUGAAGAGA